GAUGAACGCUAGCUACAGGCUUAACACAUGCAAGUCGAGGGGUAACAAGAGAAAAGCUUGCUUUUCUUGUUGACGACCGGCGCACGGGUGAGUAACGCGUAUCCAACCUGCCUAUAACUAGGGAAUAACCUUGCGAAAGUCAGACUAAUACCCUAUGAUUUCCUUUGAUGACAUCAGAUUAGGAAUAAAGAUUUAUCGGUUAUAAUCGGGGAUGCGUCGUAUUAGCUUGUUGGCGGGGUAACGGCCAACCAAGGCAACGAUCAGUAGGGGUUCUGAGAGGAAGGUCCCCCACAUUGGAACUGAGACACGGUCCAAACUCCUACGGGAGGCAGCAGUGAGGAAUAUUGGUCAAUGGGCGGAAGCCUGAACCAGCCAAGUAGCGUGCAGGAUGACGGCCCUAUGGGUUGUAAACUGCUUUUAUACAGGAAUAAAGUUAGCCACGUGUGGUUAUUUGUAGGUACUGUAUGAAUAAGGACCGGCUAAUUCCGUGCCAGCCGCCGCAGUAA
Molecule: ribosomal RNA, 506 nt
Filed under: uncultured bacterium
Lineage: Bacteria
Description: partial 16S ribosomal RNA
Rfam family: Bacterial small subunit ribosomal RNA
Source: RNAcentral